Molecule: ribosomal RNA, 445 nt
Filed under: uncultured bacterium
Lineage: Bacteria
Description: bacterial SSU rRNA
Rfam family: Bacterial small subunit ribosomal RNA
Source: RNAcentral
ACCAGACUCCUACGGGAGGCAGCAGUGGGGGAUAUUGCACAAUGGGGGAAACCCUGAUGCAGCGACGCCGCGUGAGUGAAGAAGUAUUUCGGUACGUAAAGCCCUAUCGGCAGGGAAGAAACAGACGGUACCUGACUAAGAAGCCCCGGCUAACUACGUGCCAGCAGCCGCGGUAAUACGUAGGGGGCAAGCGUUAUCCGGAUUCACUGGGUGUAAAGGGAGCGUAGACGGCGACGCAAGUCUGGAGUGAAAGCCCGGGGCCCAACCCCGGGACUGCUCUGGAAACUGCGUCGCUGGAGUACGGGAGGGGCAGGCGGAAUUCCUGGUGUAGCGGUGAAAUGCGUAGAUAUCAGGAGGAACACCGGUGGCGAAGGCGGCUUACUGGACCAUAACUGACGUUGAGGCUCGAAAGCGUGGGGAGCGAACAGGAUUAGAUACCCUUGUA